GGGAGCCAUACCCUGAGGGAGGGGAGCCAUGCACGAGCAGCUUCGGGUGACAGCGCAGGUGAAGAGCAGGUGAAGCUAUUUGGGACAAUGCUGAAGAUGUUUGCUCGCACUGGGCAAUCAGGUGCAGAUCAGACCCUAGUGCUGCGACGUCUUGGAGAGUUUGGCGAUGUUGUGCGUAGCAUGGAAAACAAAAUGGACACUAUGCUGCAACAUUUCAGUGCCAAUGUGUCUUUUGGAGAGCUAUCCCUGCCAGGGGAUCUUUUACUCCCCCUAGACACCCAGAUUUGGUGUUUCUUGACAGCAUUUUGAGGGAGGAUAAAGAGCUCCAGGAACGAUUUCUUCGCUUUUUGGCUAUCAAAUGUGGGAGGGACCUGAAGACAACAGUGUGGAGAAUGCUUCAG
Molecule: long non-coding RNA, 401 nt
Organism: Esox lucius (northern pike)
Lineage: Eukaryota; Metazoa; Chordata; Actinopteri; Esociformes; Esocidae
Exons: 4
Source: RefSeq, a predicted model, not a curated record